UGCCAGACUCCUACGGGAGGCAGCAGUGGGGAAUAUUGCACAAUGGGGGAAACCCUGAUGCAGCGACGCCGCGUGAGUGAAGAAGUAUUUCGGUAUGUAAAGCUCUAUCAGCAGGGAAGAAAAUGACGGUACCUGACUAAGAAGCCCCGGCUAACUACGUGCCAGCAGCCGCGGUAAUACGUAGGGGGCAAGCGUUAUCCGGAUUUACUGGGUGUAAAGGGAGCGUAGACGGUGAUGCAAGUCAGAAGUGAAAGCCCGGGGCUCAACUCCGGGACUGCUUUUGAAACUGUGUAACUGGAGUGCAGGAGAGGUAAGCGGAAUUCCUGGUGUAGCGGUGAAAUGCGUAGAUAUCAGGAGGAACACCAGUGGCGAAGGCGGCCUGCUGGACCGUGACUGACGUUGAGGCUCGAGAGCGUGGGGAGCAAACAGGAUUAGAUACCCCCGUA
This 446-nucleotide ribosomal RNA is filed under the name uncultured bacterium. Its description in RNAcentral is "bacterial SSU rRNA". It matches the Rfam family "Bacterial small subunit ribosomal RNA", at positions 329 to 792 of the family's 1533-position model. The record is from RNAcentral.